Molecule: ribosomal RNA, 662 nt
Filed under: uncultured cyanobacterium
Lineage: Bacteria; Bacillati; Cyanobacteriota
Description: partial 16S ribosomal RNA
Source: RNAcentral
GACUACAGGGGUAUCUAAUCCCUUUCGCUCCCCUAGCUUUCGUCCCUCAGUGUCAGUACAGGCCCAGUAGAGCGCCUUCGCCACUGGUGUUCUUCCUAAUAUCUACGCAUUUCACCGCUACACUAGGAAUUCCCUCUACCCCUACCGUACUCUAGCCUAACAGUUUCAACUGCUUGUCCGGGGUUAAGCCCCGACCUUUAACAGCUGACUUGUUCGGCCACCUGCGGACCCUUUACGCCCAAUAAUUCCGGAUAACGCUUGCAUCCUCCGUAUUACCGCGGCUGCUGGCACGGAGUUAGCCGAUGCUUAUUCAAUAGGUACCGUCAGAGCUUCUUCCCUAUUAAAAGCGGUUUACAGUCCACAAACCGUCCUCCCGCACGCGGCGUUGCUCCGUCAGGGUUGCCCCCAUUGCGGAAAAUUCCCCACUGCUGCCUCCCGUAGGAGUCUGGGCCGUGUCUCAGUCCCAGUGUGGCUGAUCAUCCUCUCAGACCAGCUACUGAUCGUCGCCUUGGUAAGCUCUUACCCCACCAACUAGCUAAUCAGACGCGAGUUCAUCCUUAGACCAUUAAUGUUUUACCUCUCGGCUCAUCCGGUAUUAGCAUCAGUUUCCCGAUGUUGUCCCCGUCCUAAGGGCAGAUCCUCACGCGUUACUCACCCGUCCG